This 253-nucleotide ribosomal RNA is filed under the name uncultured bacterium. RNAcentral's name for it is "partial 16S ribosomal RNA". It matches the Rfam family "Bacterial small subunit ribosomal RNA", at positions 524 to 776 of the family's 1533-position model. The record is from RNAcentral.
UACGUAGGGUGCGAGCGUUAAUCGGAAUUACUGGGCGUAAAGCGUGCGCAGGCGGCUUUGCAAGACAGAUGUGAAAUCCCCGGGCUCAACCUGGGAACUGCAUUUGUGACUGCAAGGCUAGAGUACGGCAGAGGGGGAUGGAAUUCCGCGUGUAGCAGUGAAAUGCGUAGAUAUGCGGAGGAACACCAAUGGCGAAGGCAAUCCCAUGGGCCUGUACUGACGCUCAUGCACGAAAGCGUGGGGAGCAAACAGG